AGAGUUUGAUCCUGGCUCAGAACGAACGCUGGCGGCAGGCCUAACACAUGCAAGUCGAACGAGAAGCUUUCUUCGGAAGGUGGAGAGUGGCACGGGUGAGUAACGCGUGGGGAUCUGCCCUUUGGUACGGGAUAACGUUUGGAAACGAACGCUAAUACCGUAUGUGGUCUACGGACUAAAGAUUUAUCGCCAAAGGAUGAACCCGCGUAGGAUUAGGUAGUUGGUAGGGUAAUGGCCUACCAAGCCUACGAUCUUUAGCUGGUCUGAGAGGACGAUCAGCCACACUGGAACUGAGACACGGUCCAGACUCCUACGGGAGGCAGCAGUGGGGAAUAUUGGACAAUGGGCGAAAGCCUGAUCCAGCCAUGCCGCGUGAGUGAAGAAGGCCCUAGGGUUGUAAAGCUCUUUCGCUAGGGAAGAUAAUGACGGUACCUAGUAAAGAAGCCCCGGCUAACUCCGUGCCAGCAGCCGCGGUAAUACGGAGGGGGCUAGCGUUGUCCGGAAUCACUGGGCGUAAAGCGUACGCAGGCGGCUUAGUAAGUUGGGUGUGAAAUCCCGGGGCUCAACCCCGGAACUGCAUUCAAAACUGCUAGGCUUGAAUACGGGAGAGGGAAGCGGAAUUCCUGGUGUAGAGGUGAAAUUCGUAGAUAUCAGGAGGAACACCAGUGGCGAAAGCGGCUUCCUGGCCCGAUAUUGACGCUCAUGUACGAAAGCAUGGGGAGCAAACAGGAUUAGAUACCCUGGUAGUCCAUGCUGUAAACGAUGAAUGCCAGCUAUUGGGCAGUAUACUGUUCAGUGGCGCAGCUAACGCAUUAAGCAUUCCGCCUGGGGAGUACGGUCGCAAGACUAAAACUCAAAGAAAUUGACGGGGGCCCGCACAAGCGGUGGAGCAUGUGGUUUAAUUCGAAGCAACGCGCAGAACCUUACCAGCUCUUGACAUCCCGAUCGCGGUUACCGGAGACGGUUUCCUUCAGCUAGGCUGGAUCGGUGACAGGUGCUGCAUGGCUGUCGUCAGCUCGUGUCGUGAGAUGUUGGGUUAAGUCCCGCAACGAGCGCAACCCUCGCCUUUAGUUGCCAGCAUUUAGUUGGGCACUCUAGAGGGACUGCCGGUGAUAAGCCGGAGGAAGGUGGGGAUGACGUCAAGUCCUCAUGGCCCUUAUGGGCUGGGCUACACACGUGCUACAAUGGCGGUGACAGAGGGUUAAUCCCUAGCGAGGUUGAGCAAAUCCCUAAAAACCGUCUCAGUUCGGAUUGUACUCUGCAACUCGAGUGCAUGAAGGUGGAAUCGCUAGUAAUCGCGGAUCUGCAUGCCGCGGUGAAUACGUUCCCGGGCCUUGUACACAGCGCCCGUCACACCAUAGGAGUUGGUUUUACCCGACGCUGGUGAGCUAACCUUUUAGGAGGCAGCCAACCACGGUAGAGUCAGCGACUGGGGUGAAGUCGUAACAAGGUAGCCGUAGGGGAACCUGCGGCUG
RNAcentral lists this ribosomal RNA (1475 nucleotides) under uncultured prokaryote. RNAcentral describes it as "partial 16S ribosomal RNA". It matches the Rfam family "Bacterial small subunit ribosomal RNA". The record is from RNAcentral.